ACAGAGUCUUGGGGUGAAGCAUUCAGAGAGGAGUUUGAUUGGAGCAAACACAGGAUGGUGUCAUUUCUUAUUGGCUAAGCACGGACCCACCCACCUGUUUAGCCAUUGACCAAUGAACAGCCAGGUUUUUCCAGGAAGUGGCUUUUAAUUACCCAGGAAGUUAAACUCUGUCAUGGCGUCUUUGCCACGCCCCAAACAAUUUGAGUUAAAAUGCUUGUCUGUUCAUUCACACAGAUGUUAACAGUGAGCGAAGUGUGUUUUCCAGUGACUCGUGGCUUUUUUUAAAAUAAAUAAAAUAAUUCCUGCAUUCAAAGGGAGUAUUGCAAAUGGAAGCCACCACAUGUUCAUCAAAUGUGUGAUGAGGAGGCUGGUGACUGAUGAAGCCCCUUGAAGAAGCAAGUAGGUGUCAACAGGGGACUGUUCUGAACCUUCCACCAUGUCACGCUCGCUACCUUCAAGCAGCAAUGAAGCCUGGUGCUGUGACCGGACCACGUCUACUGGAUCCAUCCCGGCCAUUUAAAGGGAAAAGUCUUAAAGGAGUCUUCAGCUGUGGCAGUGGAGCGUCGGGCAGCGGGUUAAGGAACGAUGACUCGGCCGACGGCGAGGACGAAGAGAAGCACAGGGUUGGACGGGCAGUGCUGUGUGCACGCAUCCAAGCUAGCCAUGCCUCCAGGGGGUGUGAGGGUUCACUGUGGGAGAGGAGCAUCGUAGCAGAUGUUUUCUGUCCUUCCAAGGCGAGAGGGGGGCACGAGGAGCGUUUGAUGACAGAC
Molecule: long non-coding RNA, 770 nt
Filed under: Betta splendens (Siamese fighting fish)
Lineage: Eukaryota; Metazoa; Chordata; Actinopteri; Anabantiformes; Osphronemidae
Description: lncRNA (ENSBSLG00000004056.1)
Source: RNAcentral